This 205-nucleotide unclassified non-coding RNA is filed under the name Hevea brasiliensis (rubber tree). Lineage: Eukaryota; Viridiplantae; Streptophyta; Magnoliopsida; Malpighiales; Euphorbiaceae. The record is from RNAcentral.
UCUUAUUUUUUUUAAUGAACGUAAAGGGGCUUAGAUUGAAUCAUUAUGAAUUCUCAAUGUCAAUGAGUCGAUUAUGAUCAUCUAAAUGCCAUAAAAUAAAUAAGAACCGAAAAAAGAAAAAUAUUACAAGUUAACAUUGUAAACUUUUCAACAAAAAUUAUACCGAAAGAAAAAGUGUCACCUUCCCCAAUCAAGCAUUUGAUUA